ACNUUGAUUAUGGCUCGGGACGAACGCUGGCGGCGCGCCUAACACAUGCAAGUCGAGCGGGAAGCUUUUUAAGGAUUCUUCGGAUGAAUUAAAAAGUGGAGAGCGGCGGACGGGUGAGUAACGCGUGAGAAACCUGCCCUAUACAGGGGGGAUAGCCAUUGGAAACGAUGAUUAAUACCCCAUAUGACCACAGUAUCGCAUGAUACAGCGGUGAAAACUCCGGUGGUAUAGGAUGGUCUCGCGUCUGAUUAGCUAGUUGGUGGGGUAACGGCCUACCAAGGCGACGAUCAGUAGCCGGCCUGAGAGGGUGACCGGCCACACUGGAACUGAGACACGGUCCAGACUCCUACGGGAGGCAGCAGUGGGGAAUAUUGCACAAUGGGCGAAAGCCUGAUGCAGCGACGCCGCGUGAACGAUGAAGGCUUUCGAGUCGUAAAGUUCUGUUCUUGGGGAAGAUAACGACGGUACCCAAGGAGAAAGCACCGGCUAAAUACGUGCCAGCAGCCGCGGUA
This 512-nucleotide ribosomal RNA is filed under the name uncultured bacterium. Its description in RNAcentral is "bacterial SSU rRNA". It matches the Rfam family "Bacterial small subunit ribosomal RNA", at positions 10 to 522 of the family's 1533-position model. The record is from RNAcentral.